Molecule: transfer RNA, 69 nt
Filed under: Ictidomys tridecemlineatus (thirteen-lined ground squirrel)
Lineage: Eukaryota; Metazoa; Chordata; Mammalia; Rodentia; Sciuridae
Description: Spermophilus tridecemlineatus (thirteen-lined ground squirrel) tRNA
Rfam family: tRNA
About the family: Transfer RNA (tRNA) molecules are approximately 80 nucleotides in length.
Source: Rfam by way of RNAcentral
GAGGCUGUAGCUCAGUGGUAGAGCACCUGCCUCACAUGUGUGAGGCACUGGGUUCAAUCCUCAGCAUCA